Molecule: ribosomal RNA, 489 nt
Filed under: Triticum aestivum (bread wheat)
Lineage: Eukaryota; Viridiplantae; Streptophyta; Magnoliopsida; Poales; Poaceae
Description: partial small subunit ribosomal RNA
Source: RNAcentral
AUGGAGAGAGCGGGAGCACCGGAUCCAGGUGAGUCUCCAACUAUAAAAUCGCGCUCGCCGGGGGAUCGAGCCAUGCCUAUCAUCUCUAUCUACCCGUCGAUCGAUCUGCCGGAAUCGAUUCAUACUAUUUUUUCUCGAAGUUUGUCGUCAAUCAAGUCCCAGGCCAUUAGUCCCGACGAGACGGCAUUGUCGUACGCGUAUGUGCCGCUGGCCCAGUCCAAAUCCAUGGAGGAGCGCUGGAGCUGGGGCGGGGUCAGGUGGCGCGCGUGCGUCGGCAUGCUAGCCGCGUCGGCCGAGGUGGUGGUGGUGGUGGCCAACGCGCUGGCCGGGUCCAGCAGGGUGGAGAGGGUCGUGCACGGCGAUGUGGUGACGGACAUGCCGCGGCUGGCGGAGAUGGCACGAAGCCUGGACAGGGAACUGUAUGUCGUUGUCAAGCCUGACUGCUCUCUUUCUCUCAGCUCACCCACGGACAAAGGUGGACGAAAGUGA